RNAcentral lists this ribosomal RNA (496 nucleotides) under uncultured bacterium. Its description in RNAcentral is "partial 16S ribosomal RNA". It matches the Rfam family "Bacterial small subunit ribosomal RNA", at positions 29 to 507 of the family's 1533-position model. The record is from RNAcentral.
AUGAACGCUGGCGGCGUGCCUAAUACCUGCAAGUCGCGCGAACGGACGAGAAGCUUGCUUUUCUGAUGUUAGCGGCGGACGGGUGAGUAACACGUGGAUAACCUACCUAUAAGACUGGGAUAACUUCGGGAAACCGGAGCUAAUACCGGAUAAUAUUUUGCACCGCAUGGUUCCAAAGUGAAAGACGGUCUUGCUGUCACUUAUAGAUGGAUCCGCGCUGCAUUAGCUAGUUGGUAAGGUAACGGCUUACCAAGGCAACGAUGCAUAGCCGACCUGAGAGGGUGAUCGGCCACACUGGAACUGAGACACGGUCCAGACUCCUACGGGAGGCAGCAGUAGGGAAUCUUCCGCAAUGGGCGAAAGCCUGACGGAGCAACGCCGCGUGAGUGAUGAAGGUCUUCGGAUCGUAAAACUCUGUUAUUAGGGAAGAACAUAUGUGUAAGUAACUGUGCACAUCUUGACGGUACCUAAUCAGAAAGCCACGGCUAACUACGUG